ACAGUCAUUUCACGUAGAAAGACCGUUUCCCGUACGAUCACCGAAGUUAAGCAACGUCGAGACUGCUCAGUACCUAGAUGGUGACCGCUUGGGAAUACCUGUUUCUGUA
This is a non-coding RNA of Acanthosepion pharaonis, 109 nucleotides long. The record is from the annotation of a GenBank genome assembly. NCBI's taxonomy places the organism in Eukaryota, Metazoa, Mollusca, Cephalopoda, Sepiida, Sepiidae.